RNAcentral lists this ribosomal RNA (433 nucleotides) under uncultured bacterium. RNAcentral's name for it is "partial 16S ribosomal RNA". It matches the Rfam family "Bacterial small subunit ribosomal RNA", at positions 29 to 507 of the family's 1533-position model. The record is from RNAcentral.
AACGAACGCUGGCGGCAGGCUUAACACAUGCAAGUCGAACGCACCUUUCGGGGUGAGUGGCCGACGGGUGAGUAACGCGUGGGAAUCUACCCUUCUCUACGGGAUAGCUCCGGGAAACUGGAAUUAAUACCGUAUACGUCCUGAGGGAGAAAGAUUUAUCGGGGAAGGAUGAGCCCGCGUUGGAUUAGCUAGUUGGUGGGGUAAAGGCCUACCAAGGCGACGAUCCAUAGCUGGUCUAAGAGGAUGAUCAGCCACAUUGGGACUGAGACACGGCCCAAACUCCUACGGGAGGCAGCAGUGGGGAAUAUUGGACAAUGGGCGCAAGCCUGAUCCAGCCAUGCCGCGUGAGUGAUGAAGGCCCUAGGGUUGUAAAGCUCUUUCAGUGGGGACGAUAAUGACGGUACCCACAGAAGAAGCCCCAGCUAACUUCGUG